Molecule: ribosomal RNA, 253 nt
Filed under: uncultured bacterium
Lineage: Bacteria
Description: partial 16S ribosomal RNA
Rfam family: Bacterial small subunit ribosomal RNA
Source: RNAcentral
UACGUAGGUGGCAAGCGUUGUCCGGAUUUACUGGGCGUAAAGAGCGCGCAGGCGGUCGUCCAAGUCGCGUGUGAAAGCCCCCGGCUCAACUGGGGAGGGUCACGCGAUACUGGUCGACUCGAAGGCAGGAGAGGGUAGUGGAAUUCCCGGUGUAGUGGUGAAAUGCGUAGAUAUCAAGAGGAACACCUGAGGUGAAGACGGGUUGCUGGGCUGACACUGACGCUGAGGCGCGACAGCGUGGGGAGCAAACAGG